Molecule: non-coding RNA, 191 nt
Organism: Zea mays
Lineage: Eukaryota; Viridiplantae; Streptophyta; Magnoliopsida; Poales; Poaceae
Source: Rfam
AUAUCUUUUUCGGUCUUUUGGCUAAGACAAAGUAUAAUAUUUAUUUUUAUCAGUUUAAUAUCUGAUAUAUCGACUAUAUAUUUAUUUUGAUAUUAAAUUUAUUUUAUAUGAGUUUUUUCAAAACGUGUCCACGAUGCUGGCUUACUAGUUUCUCGCCCGUUGCGCUGCUUGUCGGCAUCAAAUAUAAUAUA